GGGCGAUUAGCUCAGUUGGUAGAGCAUCUCCCUUACAAGGAGGGGGUCAUCAGUUCGAAUUUGGUAUCGCCCACCA
This 76-nucleotide transfer RNA is filed under the name Arsenophonus sp. Its description in RNAcentral is "tRNA-Val". It matches the Rfam family "tRNA". Rfam says of the family: Transfer RNA (tRNA) molecules are approximately 80 nucleotides in length. Their secondary structure includes four short double-helical elements and three loops (D, anti-codon, and T loops). Further hydrogen bonds mediate the characteristic L-shaped molecular structure. tRNAs have two regions of fundamental functional importance: the anti-codon, which is responsible for specific mRNA codon recognition, and the 3' end, to which the tRNAs corresponding amino acid is attached (by aminoacyl-tRNA synthetases). tRNAs cope with the degeneracy of the genetic code in two manners: having more than one tRNA (with a specific anti-codon) for a particular amino acid; and 'wobble' base-pairing, i.e. permitting non-standard base-pairing at the 3rd anti-codon position. Lineage: Bacteria; Pseudomonadati; Pseudomonadota; Gammaproteobacteria; Enterobacterales; Morganellaceae. The record is from RNAcentral.